This 418-nucleotide ribosomal RNA is filed under the name uncultured bacterium. RNAcentral describes it as "bacterial SSU rRNA". It matches the Rfam family "Bacterial small subunit ribosomal RNA", at positions 355 to 786 of the family's 1533-position model. The record is from RNAcentral.
UGGGGAAUAUUGCGCAAUGGGGGCAACCCUGACGCAGCAACGCCGCGUGAAGGAUGAAGGUUUUCGGAUUGUAAACUUCUUUUGUUGAGGACGAAGAAAGUGACGGUACUCAACGAAUAAGCCACGGCUAACUACGUGCCAGCAGCCGCGGUAAUACGUAGGUGGCAAGCGUUGUCCGGAUUUACUGGGUGUAAAGGGCGAGUAGGCGGGUUUGCAAGUCAGAUGUGAAAUACCGGGGCUUAACCCCGGGGCUGCAUUUGAAACUGUAGAUCUUGAGUGAUGGAGAGGCAGGCGGAAUUCCCGGUGUAGCGAUGGAAUGCGUAGAUAUCGGGGAGGAACACCAGUGGCGAAGGCGGCCUGCUGGACAUUAACUGACGCUGAGGAGCGAAAGCGUGGGGAGCAAACAGGAUUAGAUACC